UUCUAAUAGAAAUAUUUAUUAGUAAAAUCUGCUCAAUGAAAUUUUUAAAUAGCCGCAAUUAUUUUUGUGCUAAGGUAGCAUAAUCAUUUGUCUUUUAAUUAAAGACUAGAACGAAAGAUAUUACAUUUAAACUUCUAUACUAAUCUAAAUUUACAAAUUAUUUUAAGUAUAAAAAAAUACUUAUAUAUAAAAAAGACGAUAAGACCCUAUUAAACUUAACUUUAGUUUAACUGGGGUAGUUAAUUAAUUAUUAUUUUAAUUUAAAUAAAAAGAAAAAUGAUCUUAAAAAUUAAAUUAAAUAAUCAAGUUACUAUAGGGAUAACAGCGUAAUUAUUAUUUAAAGCUCUUAUAAUAAAAAUAGAUUACGACCUCGAUGUUGAAUAAUUAUUCUAGUAAAUGCAAUAAUUUAAUUUUUAAGAAAGUCUGUUCGACUUUUAAUUAAUUACA
Molecule: ribosomal RNA, 447 nt
Filed under: Neoramia sp. CG239
Lineage: Eukaryota; Metazoa; Arthropoda; Arachnida; Araneae; Agelenidae
Description: partial 16S ribosomal RNA
Source: RNAcentral